CCGUGCUCCACGGGGACUUGGCGGAUCUCUCGACCCGAACGCUUACGCGGGGUGCAGAGCCUGCUGUGAGGCUUGUGGAAAAAGGAGGAAUCGUAUAUUUGUUUAUGAUUGCUCAAGAUCUUUCGGCAAAAGCAAUCGAACCGUGUCAGAUCAGGAAUGAAGCAGCACUAAGAUUCAACUUUUGGGUGAAAGUUUUUUGAGAGGGAGAUAAAUAUAUUGAGGAAUUUGAUUUUCAUUUGACGAUAGGCAGUGGCACGG
Molecule: signal recognition particle RNA, 258 nt
Filed under: Clostridium sp.
Lineage: Bacteria; Bacillati; Bacillota; Clostridia; Eubacteriales; Clostridiaceae
Also listed under: 3 other names
Description: signal recognition particle sRNA large type
Rfam family: Bacterial large signal recognition particle RNA
About the family: The signal recognition particle (SRP) is a universally conserved ribonucleoprotein involved in the co-translational targeting of proteins to membranes. Archaeal SRP consists of a 7S RNA and homologues of the eukaryotic SRP19 and SRP54 proteins.
Source: RNAcentral